GGGCCCUUCGUCUAGUGGUCAGGACAUUAGGUUUUCAUCCUAAAAACAGGAGUUCGAUUCUCCUAGGGCCUA
This is a transfer RNA of Streptobacillus moniliformis DSM 12112, 72 nucleotides long. It matches the Rfam family "tRNA". From Rfam's summary of the family: Transfer RNA (tRNA) molecules are approximately 80 nucleotides in length. NCBI's taxonomy places the organism in Bacteria, Fusobacteriati, Fusobacteriota, Fusobacteriia, Fusobacteriales, Leptotrichiaceae. The record is from Rfam.